Molecule: unclassified non-coding RNA, 229 nt
Filed under: plant metagenome
Description: partial contains small subunit ribosomal RNA, internal transcribed spacer 1, and 5.8S ribosomal RNA
Source: RNAcentral
UCUCCGUAGGUGAACCUGCGGAGGGAUCAUUACAGAGUUUUUGCCCGCAAGGAUAGAUCUCCCACCCUAUGUUAUUCCUUCUCUGUGGCUUGGGCGGGCCGCCCGGCCUCUGUCAGGCCACCGUCCCCGGAUGGCGGGGGCCCGCCAGAGGACGACACACCCUAAGUGUCAGUGUCGUCUGAGUACUAUACACUAGUUAAAACUUUCAACAACGGAUCUCUUGGUUCUG